Molecule: ribosomal RNA, 497 nt
Filed under: uncultured bacterium
Lineage: Bacteria
Description: partial 16S ribosomal RNA
Rfam family: Bacterial small subunit ribosomal RNA
Source: RNAcentral
GAUGAACGCUGGCGGCGUGCCUAAUACAUGCAAGUCGAGCGAACAGACGAGGAGCUUGCUCCUCUGACGUUAGCGGCUGACGGGUGAGUAACACGUGGAUAACCUACCUAUAAGACUGGGAUAACUUCGGGAAACCGGAGCUAAUACCGGAUAAUAUAUUGAACCGCAUGGUUCAAUAGUGAAAGACGGUUUUGCUGUCACUUAUAGAUGGAUCCGCGCCGCAUUAGCUAGUUGGUAAGGUAACGGCUUACCAAGGCAACGAUGCGUAGCCGACCUGAGAGGGGGAUCGGCCACACUGGAGCUGGGACACGGUCCAGACUCCUACGGGAGGCAGCAGUAGGGAAUCGUCCGCAAUGGGCGAGAGCCUGACGGAGCAACGCCGCGUGAGUGAUGAAGGUCUUCGGAUCGGAAAACUCUGUUAUUAGGGAAGAACAAAUGUGUAAGUAACUAUGCACGUCUUGACGGUACCUAAUCAGAAAGCCACGGCUAACUACGUG